Molecule: ribosomal RNA, 301 nt
Filed under: uncultured bacterium
Lineage: Bacteria
Description: partial 16S ribosomal RNA
Rfam family: Bacterial small subunit ribosomal RNA
Source: RNAcentral
CAGCCGCCACGGUAAUACGAAGGGGGCUAGCGUUGUUCGGAAUUACUGGGCAUAAAGCGCACGUAGGCGGAUAUUUAAGUCAGGGGUGAAAUCCCGCAGCUCAACUGCGGAACUGCCUUUGAUACUGGGUAUCUUGAGUAUGGAAGAGGUUAGUGGAAUUGCGAGUGUAGAGGUGAAAUUCGUAGAUAUUCGCAGGAACACCAGUGGCGAAGGCGGCUAACUGGUCCAUAACUGACGCUGAGGUGCGAAAGCGUGGGGAGCAAACAGGAUUAGAUACCCCUGUAGUCCCUGUCUCUUAUAU